GACGAACGCUGGCGGCGUGCUUAACACAUGCGAGUCGAACGGAAAGGCCCUGCUUUUGCGGGGUGCUCGAGUGGCGAACGGGUGAGUAACACGUGAGUAACCUGCCCUUGACUUUGGGAUAACUUCAGGAAACUGGGGCUAAUACCGGAUAGGAGCUCCUGCUGCAUGGUGGGGGUUGGAAAGUUUCGGCGGUUGGGGAUGGACUCGCGGCUUAUCAGCUUGUUGGUGGGGUAGUGGCUUACCAAGGCUUUGACGGGUAGCCGGCCUGAGAGGGUGACCGGCCACAUUGGGACUGGGAUACGGCCCAGACUCCUACGGGAGGCAGCAGUGGGGAAUAUUGCACAAUGGGCGGAAGCCUGAUGCAGCAACGCCGCGUGCGGGAUGACGGCCUUCGGGUUGUAUACCGCUUUCGCCUGUGACGAAGCGUGAGUGACGGUAAUGGGUAAAGAAGCACCGGCUAACUACGUG
This 468-nucleotide ribosomal RNA is filed under the name uncultured bacterium. RNAcentral's name for it is "partial 16S ribosomal RNA". It matches the Rfam family "Bacterial small subunit ribosomal RNA", at positions 28 to 507 of the family's 1533-position model. The record is from RNAcentral.